GACGAACGCUGGCGGCGUGCCUAAUACAUGCAAGUAGGACGCAGUUGCGAACGGGUGAGUAACGCGUAGGUAACUACCUAUUAGAGGGGGAUAACUAUUGGAAACGAUAGCUAAUACCGCAUACUAGUAGAUGGACCUGCGUUGUAUUAGCUAGUAGGUAGGGUAAUGGCCUACCUAGGCAACGAUACAUAGCCGACCUUGGAGGGUGAUCGGCCACACUGGGACGAGGACACGUCCCAGUCUCCUACGGGAGGCAGCAGGAGGGAAUCUGCUGCAAUGGGGGGAACCCUGACCGAGCAACGCGGCGUGAGUGAAGAAGUGUUUCGGAUCGUAAAGCUCUUGUGUUAAGGAAGCGGUACUUAACCAGAAAGGGACAGCUAACUACGUGCCAGCAGUCGCGGUAAUAC
RNAcentral lists this ribosomal RNA (407 nucleotides) under uncultured bacterium. Its description in RNAcentral is "partial 16S ribosomal RNA". It matches the Rfam family "Bacterial small subunit ribosomal RNA", at positions 28 to 526 of the family's 1533-position model. The record is from RNAcentral.